AAAUCGUUGACCUAUUGCAAGAAGGACUCAGCCAGCGAGUUGUCGCUCGUCGGCUCCAUAUAAGCCAGUCCUGUGUUUCGAAAGCU
Molecule: non-coding RNA, 86 nt
Organism: Bombyx mori (domestic silkworm)
Lineage: Eukaryota; Metazoa; Arthropoda; Insecta; Lepidoptera; Bombycidae
Source: RefSeq, marked provisional